CGAGCGCCAGCGGGAGAGCGUUGCCGCAGGCAACGACCCGAAGGGCGAAGCGCGCAGCGCUGAGUAAUCCUUCCCCCACCACCA
Molecule: small RNA, 84 nt
Filed under: Escherichia coli
Lineage: Bacteria; Pseudomonadati; Pseudomonadota; Gammaproteobacteria; Enterobacterales; Enterobacteriaceae
Description: partial RtT sRNA
Rfam family: RtT RNA
About the family: This family represents a bacterial cis-regulatory element known as RtT RNA. The exact function of RtT is unknown although it is thought that it may be involved in changing the cellular response in relation to amino acid starvation.
Source: RNAcentral